Molecule: ribosomal RNA, 24 nt
Filed under: Sulfurospirillum sp. enrichment culture SL2 clone SL2-ITS1
Lineage: Bacteria; Pseudomonadati; Campylobacterota; Epsilonproteobacteria; Campylobacterales; Sulfurospirillaceae
Also listed under: 1 other name
Description: partial 16S ribosomal RNA
Source: RNAcentral
GGAGAACCUGCGGUUGGAUCACCU